AACGAACGCUGGCGGCGCGCUUAACACAUGCAAGUCGAACGAGAAGGCGUAGCAAUACGCUUGUACAGUGGCGAACGGGUGAGGAAUACGUGGGUAACCUACCCUCGAGUGGGGAAUAACCAGCCGAAAGGUUGGCUAAUGCCGCGUACGCUUCCCGGUCUGCGGAUCGGGAAGGAAAGCCGUACAAAGUGUGCGGCGCUCAAGGAUGGGCUCACGUCCUAUCAGCUUGUUGGUGAGGUAACGGCUCACCAAGGCUUCGACGGGUAGCUGGUCUGAG
RNAcentral lists this ribosomal RNA (277 nucleotides) under uncultured bacterium. Its description in RNAcentral is "partial 16S ribosomal RNA". It matches the Rfam family "Bacterial small subunit ribosomal RNA", at positions 29 to 296 of the family's 1533-position model. The record is from RNAcentral.